CGUUUUCGUUUCGUCUCACAUCUUUCUUUGUGAUCUAAAUAUAGAAAGAUAAAAACGAAAGUGCAAACCCGUGUUACAUUUCUUUACUAGUGUAUUCCAAACAGUGAAGUUUGAGGUGUGUCUGCAGCAGUCGCUUCAUCACCAAAUAAUCAAUAAUGGGAAACGGCGGGAAUGGCGGUAGUGGCGGCGGCGGCGGUGGUGGCGGUGGAGGCAUGUUAGGGGGAGGGGCCGGAGGGGCCGGGGGCAAGGGAGUGAGCUCGUAUAUGUCAGUGGGGUGCCGUGUUCCGAUGGAGGAAAUAUCCUGGCUAAAUGCCCACAUAAGAUUUUCUCCACAUCAAAGGUUCGAUCAUAACAAUCCACACCGCUAACAGCAUGCAUUGCUCAAGUGGUCAUCAGAGAAGCUUGACCGUUAUCAUUUUGAAAUCAGAAACUUUGAGUUGUACAUCUGUCAUUUCGUGGUAUUAAA
Molecule: long non-coding RNA, 466 nt
Organism: Dreissena polymorpha
Lineage: Eukaryota; Metazoa; Mollusca; Bivalvia; Myida; Dreissenidae
Exons: 3
Source: RefSeq, a predicted model, not a curated record